UUGCUCAGUAACACGUGGACAACCUGCCCUGAGGACUGGAAUAAUCCCGGGAAACUGGGGGUAAUUCCAGAUAUGUCAGAACUCCUGGAAUGGGUUCUGGCAGAAAGGCUCCGGCGCCUCAGGAUGGGUCUGCGGCCUAUCAGGGUAGUAGUGGGUGUAACGUACCUACUAGCCUACGACGGGUACGGGUUGUGAGAGCAAGAGCCCGGAGAUGGAUUCUGAGACAUGAAUCCAGGCCCUACGGGGUGCAGCAGGCGCGAAAACUUUACAAUGCGGGCAACCGCGAUAAGGGGACCUCGAGUGCUGGGUUACAAACCUGGCUGUUGGGCUGCCUAAAAAGCAGUCUAUAGCAAGGGCCGGGCAAGACCGGUGCCAGCCGCCGCGGUAACACCGGCGGCUCGAGUGGUAACCGCUGUUAUUGGGUCUAAAGGGUCUGUAGCCUGCCGGCUAAGUCUCUUGGGAAAUCUGGCAUCUCAAGUGUCAGGCUGCCAGGGGAUACUGGUCAGCUUGGGACCGGGAGAGGUGAGAGGUACCUCAGGGGUAGGGGUGAAAUCUUGUAAUCCUUGAGGGACCACCAGUGGCGAAGGCGUCUCACCAGAACGGAUCCAACGGCAAGGGACGAAAGCUAGGGGCACGAACCGGAUUAGAUACCCGGGUAGUCCUAGCCGUAAACGAUACUCGCUAGGUGUCGGCCACGGUGCGACCGUGGUCGGUGCCGUAGGGAAGCCGUGAAGCGAGCCACCUGGGAAGUACGGCCGCAAGGCUGAAACUUAAAGGAAUUGGCGGGGGA
This 790-nucleotide ribosomal RNA is filed under the name uncultured Methanosaeta sp. Its description in RNAcentral is "bacterial SSU rRNA". It matches the Rfam family "Archaeal small subunit ribosomal RNA", at positions 86 to 875 of the family's 1478-position model. The record is from RNAcentral. Lineage: Archaea; Methanobacteriati; Methanobacteriota; Methanomicrobia; Methanotrichales; Methanotrichaceae.